ACAAAAUUGCCAUUGAAGAACAGAAGUUUAAGCAUAUUUAUCGAAGAAGAAAAAGACGAUGACAAUUUCCCAAAGUUUCAAUUGUCUUCUGUGAAUUUGGCUUUGGGUCACUGUUAUGACACUAAAGGGCACCUGGAAACACGGUUGAA
RNAcentral lists this small RNA (149 nucleotides) under Arabidopsis thaliana (thale cress). Its description in RNAcentral is "ATSL160100". Lineage: Eukaryota; Viridiplantae; Streptophyta; Magnoliopsida; Brassicales; Brassicaceae. The record is from RNAcentral.